CCUACGGGAGGCAGCAGUGGGGAAUAUUGCACAAUGGAGGAAACCCUGAUGCAGCGACGCCGCGUGCGGGAAGAAGGAUUUCGGUAUGUAAAGCUCUAUCAGCAGGGAAGAAAAAAGACGGUACCUGACUAAGAAGCCCCGGCUAACUACGUGCCAGCAGCCGCGGUAAUACGUAGGGGGCAAGCGUUAUCCGGAUUUACUGGGUGUAAAGGGAGCGUAGACGGCUGUGCAAGUCUGAAGUGAAAGCCCAGGGCUUAACCGUGGAACUGCAUGGGAAACUGUGGAUCUAGAGUGCUGGAGAGGGAAGUGGAAUGCCUAGUGUAGCGGUGAAAUGCGUAGAUAUUAGGAGGAACACCAGUGGCGAAGGCGGCUUACUGGACAGUAACUGACGUUGAGGCACGAAAGCGUGGGGAGCAAACAGGAUUAGAUACCCGAGUAGUC
RNAcentral lists this ribosomal RNA (441 nucleotides) under uncultured bacterium. Its description in RNAcentral is "partial 16S ribosomal RNA". It matches the Rfam family "Bacterial small subunit ribosomal RNA", at positions 338 to 795 of the family's 1533-position model. The record is from RNAcentral.